GUAAUGCUUGGGAAUCUGGCUUAUGGAGGGGGAUAACUGUGGGAAACUGCAGCUAAUACCGCGUAUUCUCUGAGGAGGAAAGGGUGGGACCUUAGGGCCACCUGCCAUAAGAUGAGCCCAAGUGGGAUUAGGUAGUUGGUGGGGUAAAGGCCUACCAAGCCUGCGAUCUCUAGCUGGUCUGAGAGGAUGACCAGCCACACUGGAACUGAGACACGGUCCAGACUCCUACGGGAGGCAGCAGUGGGGAAUAUUGCGCAAUGGGGGGAACCCUGACGCAGCCAUGCCGCGUGAAUGAAGAAGGCCUUCGGGUUGUAAAGUUCUUUCGGUAAUGAGGAAGGGAUGUUGUUAAAUAGAUAGCAUCAUUGACGUUAAUUACAGAAGAAGCACCGGCUAACUCCGUGCCAGCAGCCGCGGUAAUACGGAGGGUGCGAGCGUUAAUCGGAAUAACUGGGCGUAAAGGGCACGCAGGCGGACUUUUAAGUGAGAUGUGAAAUCCCCGAGCUUAACUUGGGAACUGCAUUUCAGACUGGGAGUC
This 535-nucleotide ribosomal RNA is filed under the name Pasteurella multocida. Its description in RNAcentral is "bacterial SSU rRNA". It matches the Rfam family "Bacterial small subunit ribosomal RNA", at positions 110 to 641 of the family's 1533-position model. Lineage: Bacteria; Pseudomonadati; Pseudomonadota; Gammaproteobacteria; Pasteurellales; Pasteurellaceae. The record is from RNAcentral.